CACGUAGGAGGCAAACGUUAUCCGGAUUUACUGGGCGUAAAGCGCGUGUAGGUGGUUCUGUAAGUAGGGCGUGAAAGCUCCCGGCUCAACUGGGAGAGGCCGUUCUAAACUGCAGAGCUAGAGGAUGGUAGAGGGAGGUGGAAUUCCAGGUGUAGCGGUGGAAUGCGCAGAUAUCUGGAGGAACACCAGUGGCGAAGGCGGCCUCCUGGACCAUUCCUGACACUCAGACGCGAAAGCUAGGGUAGCAAACGGGAUUAGAUACCCGGGUAGUCCCUGA
Molecule: ribosomal RNA, 277 nt
Filed under: uncultured prokaryote
Description: partial 16S ribosomal RNA
Rfam family: Bacterial small subunit ribosomal RNA
Source: RNAcentral